Molecule: ribosomal RNA, 434 nt
Filed under: uncultured bacterium
Lineage: Bacteria
Description: partial 16S ribosomal RNA
Rfam family: Bacterial small subunit ribosomal RNA
Source: RNAcentral
AGCGAACGCUGGCGGCAGGCUUAACACAUGCGAGUCGAGCGGGCAUCCUUGUGGUGUCCGCGGCAGACGGGUGAGUAACGCGUGGGAACGUGCCCUUCGGUUCGGAAUAACUCAGGGAAACUUGAGCUAAUACCGGAUACGCCCUUUUGGGGAAAGGUUUACUGCCGAAGGAUCGGCCCGCGUCUGAUUAGCUAGUUGGUGAGGUUAUGGCUCACCAAGGCGACGAUCAGAAGCUGGUCUGAGAGGAUGAUCAGCCACACUGGGACUGAGACACGGCCCAGACUCCUACGGGAGGCAGCAGUGGGAAUAUUGGACAAUGGGGGCAACCCUGAUCCAGCCAUGCCGCGUGAGUGAUGACGGCCUUAGGGUUGUAAAGCUCUUUUCUCCGGGACGAUAAUGACGGUACCGGAGGAAUAAGCCCCGGCGAACUGCGU